GACCUGCGGAAGGAUCAUUAUUGAAUGAAUGUAGAGUUGGUUGUCGCUGGCCCUUUCGGGGGUAUGUGCACGCCUUCUCUUUCAUCCACACACACCUGUGCACUUGUGAGACGGAGGGCUUUAAUUAGUCUUCCGUCUAUUCAACCACACAAACUCAUUGUAUUUAAACUGAAUGUAAUUGAUGUAACGCAUCAUUAGAACGAAAUGCGAUAAGUAAUGUGAAUUGCAGAAUUCAGUGAAUCAUCGAAUCUUUGAACGCACCUUGCGCUCCUUGGUAUUCCUUGGAGCAUGCCUGUUUGAGUAUCAUGAAAUUCUCAAAGUAAAUCUUUUGUUAAUUCAACUGGUUUUGCUUUGGACUUGGAGGUCUUUGCAGAUUUCACGUCUGCUCCUCUUAAAUGCAUUAGCUGGAUCUCAGUAUAUGCUUGGUUCCACUCGGCGUGAUAAGUAUCACUCGCUGAGGACACUGUAAAAGGUGGCCAGGAAAUACAGAUGAACCGCUUCUAAUAGUCUAUUAAGUUAGACAAUUAAUUUUAAGAUCUGUCUCAAAAGGUAGGACUACCCGCUGAACUUAAGCAUAUCAAUA
RNAcentral lists this ribosomal RNA (583 nucleotides) under Ceratobasidium sp. BUH0005. Its description in RNAcentral is "eukaryotic LSU rRNA". The stretch from base 167 to 306 matches the Rfam family "5.8S ribosomal RNA". Lineage: Eukaryota; Fungi; Basidiomycota; Agaricomycetes; Cantharellales; Ceratobasidiaceae. The record is from RNAcentral.